UACGAAGGGGGCUAGCGUUGCUCGGGAUCACUGGGCGUAAAGCGCACGUAGGCGGAUUGCUAAGUCAGGGGUGAAAUCCUGGAGCUCAACUCCAGAACUGCCUUUGAUACUGGCGAUCUCGAGUCCGGGAGAGGUGAGUGGAACUGCGAGUGUAGAGGUGAAAUUCGUAGAUAUUCGCAAGAACACCAGUGGCGAAGGCGGCUCACUGGCCCGGUACUGACGCUGAGGUGCGAAAGCGUGGGGAGCAAACAGG
RNAcentral lists this ribosomal RNA (253 nucleotides) under uncultured bacterium. RNAcentral's name for it is "partial 16S ribosomal RNA". It matches the Rfam family "Bacterial small subunit ribosomal RNA", at positions 524 to 776 of the family's 1533-position model. The record is from RNAcentral.